Molecule: non-coding RNA, 100 nt
Filed under: Spiroplasma syrphidicola
Lineage: Bacteria; Bacillati; Mycoplasmatota; Mollicutes; Entomoplasmatales; Spiroplasmataceae
Also listed under: 1 other name
Description: Guanine sequence
Rfam family: Purine riboswitch aptamer
About the family: Riboswitches are metabolite binding domains within certain messenger RNAs that serve as precision sensors for their corresponding targets. Allosteric rearrangement of mRNA structure is mediated by ligand binding, and this results in modulation of gene expression.
Source: RNAcentral
AAAAUUAAAUAGUAAUUAACCAUUAUAAACUAGAAAUAUGGUCUAGUGUUUCUACGUCCAACCAAUGUAAAGGGACUCUAGUGGUUGAUGUUUUACAACA